CUGCGCAUGUUCAAUUAUGAAAUGUUCCAAAUCCACACAAACUUUCAAAUGUGAAAUAACAUGUGACAAAUUCAUAAGAGAAACUGUUUGAUCAAGGUGAACUAUAAACAGAUUUUAUUACCCCGGUGGAUACGCAGUCAAGUAGUUAUUUUGAGAUGAAGGCGACAGUUAGUUAGCAUUAAUAGAUUAAAUUAUCAUGCUAUAGAGAGCUUAAAUGUGGUGUAAUAUGUAAAUACAGUAUGUUCCUCACAAUUGCAACCGGACAUUGGUGUUUGACAGAUUAUGAUUAAUUAGCGUCGCUGGGAGAAAAAAUAUUAUAAAGCAUAGCAUACUAAGCAUAAUAUUGAACAUUAAAAGUCUCGCAUGAUAUUUCCUUUAUAGUAUCAAUUCGUAAUAUUGUCUUAGUAAUCAGUUUGUGUAUAUUAGAACGAGGCAAUAAGAUCUGGUAUAUACGUAACUGGCCAGUGAAAUAGUGACCGGGCUACAUGAUAUGAUAUUACUAGUGGACGGCUAUUCUGCAAUAUUUCUAUUUGUGGAAAGUAGUCUUGAUGGUCGCUUUGAAACUUCCAGUAUUUUUUUGCACGCUAGUUAUCUUAUCCUGAAUUCCUGAUUCACUUCAAUUGGGAUAUGUAGUUUUACUGACUCGCAAUAACAGUUCUUAAGUAUUUUCGUUUGUAUAUUUGCUAUGGCAUCGCGAAGCAAAUCGUUCACCUUUCUACACGUGGUCGAAGAAGAACAACGUGGAGUGAUGGAUAUAUGGUGC
Molecule: non-coding RNA, 763 nt
Organism: Paramuricea clavata
Lineage: Eukaryota; Metazoa; Cnidaria; Anthozoa; Malacalcyonacea; Plexauridae
Source: the annotation of a GenBank genome assembly